CCGUAUUUUAAAAAUGGAAUCUGCUACGUCAGUGUUUAGAUAUUUUAUACCGCUUUGCUUCCUCAAGUCAAUAAUUUACUGCUACCAUUUUUCAAUUUCCGGAAAAAUGUAUUGGGAAAGUUUCACUAGAGCAUCUGGCUGAUAUUUGUGUGAGUUUUGUGGUGGGAGGAAGAAGACUGACACUUGGGGUGUUGAGCGAAUUUUACAUAUAAGAAGCGCCCUUUAUAAUUCAGUUUUUUGUUGAUUGAUAGUAUCCUAUUCCGAUGUUAUGUUAGGAUUACUAAGUGGAAAUCAGGUUUCUGAUACUUGCCUUAAAUGCAGGAACUUUUAAUUAGUAAAUGGGAAAUUACAACUUAGAAUGCAUAAUUUUGUUGCUUGACAGUAUUAUACUCCGUUGUUAAUUUAAGAUUGCUAGGCUAUACUGCAAUUAUUGAGUGGAAUAUCAGGUUUUUUAUUUUUUAUUUUUACACUAACUGUGUGAAUUUCCAACUAGGGAUUUGGCUAAAGAAAAUCUUUGUAUUGGUAGCAUCGAUACGAGUUCAUUUCGUGG
RNAcentral lists this long non-coding RNA (550 nucleotides) under Olea europaea subsp. europaea. Lineage: Eukaryota; Viridiplantae; Streptophyta; Magnoliopsida; Lamiales; Oleaceae. The record is from RNAcentral.